RNAcentral lists this ribosomal RNA (251 nucleotides) under uncultured bacterium. RNAcentral's name for it is "partial 16S ribosomal RNA". It matches the Rfam family "Bacterial small subunit ribosomal RNA", at positions 71 to 339 of the family's 1533-position model. The record is from RNAcentral.
AACUUGGAUUUAUUCAAGUGGAAAGUGGCGGACGAGCGAGUAACACGUAAGAACCUGCCCUGUACUCGGGGAUAACCUGGCGAAAGUCGGGCUAAUACCGGAUAGUCUCGAAAGAGUAAAGAUUUAUCGGUACGGGAGGGGCUUGCGGCUUAUCAGCUAGUUGGUGGGGUAAAUGCCCACCAAGGCUAUGACGAGUAACUGGUGUGAGAGCACGACCAGUCGCGAUGGGACUGAGAUACGGCCCAUACUUC